AGGACGAACGCUGGCGGCGUGCCUAACACAUGCAAGUCGAGCGGAGAUUAUAGCAAUAUAAUCUUAGCGGCGGACGGGUGAGUAACGCGUGGGCAACCUGCCUUUCACAGGGGGAUAACACAGGGAAACUUGUGCUAAUACCGCAUAAGAUCAUAGGAGGACAUCCUCCAGUGACCAAAGGAGCAAUCCGGUGAGAGAUGGGCCCGCGUCCAAUUAGCUAGUUGGUGGUGUAACGGACCACCAAGGCGACGAUUGGUAGCCGAACUGAGAGGUUGAUCGGCCACAUUGGGACUGAGGUACGGCCCAGACUCCUACGGGAGGCAGCAGUGGGGAAUAUUGCGCAAUGGGGGGAACCCUGACGCAGCAACGCCGCGUGAAGGAUGAAGGUUUUCGGAUCGUAAACUUCUUUGAUGAGGGACGAAAGAAAUGACGGUACCUCAAAAACAAGCCACGGCUAACUACGUGCCAGCCGCCGC
RNAcentral lists this ribosomal RNA (476 nucleotides) under uncultured bacterium. RNAcentral's name for it is "bacterial SSU rRNA". It matches the Rfam family "Bacterial small subunit ribosomal RNA", at positions 26 to 518 of the family's 1533-position model. The record is from RNAcentral.